Molecule: ribosomal RNA, 486 nt
Filed under: uncultured bacterium
Lineage: Bacteria
Description: bacterial SSU rRNA
Rfam family: Bacterial small subunit ribosomal RNA
Source: RNAcentral
AUUGAACGCUGGCGGCAUGCCUUACACAUGCAAGUCGAACGGCAGCACGGGUGCUUGCACCUGGUGGCGAGUGGCGAACGGGUGAGUAAUAUAUCGGAACGUACCUUAUCGUGGGGGAUAACGCAGCGAAAGCUGCGCUAAUACCGCAUACGCCCUGAGGGGGAAAGCGGGGGACCGUAAGGCCUCGCGCGAUUAGAGCGGCCGAUAUCAGAUUAGGUAGUUGGUGGGGUAAAGGCCUACCAAGCCGACGAUCUGUAGCUGGUCUGAGAGGACGACCAGCCACACUGGGACUGAGACACGGCCCAGACUCCUACGGGAGGCAGCAGUGGGGAAUUUUGGACAAUGGACGCAAGCCUGAUCCAGCCAUUCCGCGUGCAGGAUGAAGGCCCUCGGGUUGUAAACUGCUUUUGUACAGAACGAAAAGGUUUCUAUUAAUACUAGGAGCUCAUGACGGUACUGUAAGAAUAAGCACCGGCUAACUACGUG